Long non-coding RNA from Camelina sativa (false flax), 346 nucleotides. RefSeq lists it as uncharacterized. NCBI's taxonomy places the organism in Eukaryota, Viridiplantae, Streptophyta, Magnoliopsida, Brassicales, Brassicaceae. The record is from RefSeq and is a predicted model, not a curated record.
GAGAGACCUGAAACAGGCGGUACACCGGAGACGGCAAUCCUCACCUAUUAGAUCCGACGCUAAACAAAGACGAUUCCUUUUGCAGUUACGACCUCAACCUCAAACCUUUGACCUGGAGCAUGCUAUUUUCUCUAGUUGAUGAUCCGUUGUUAAGACGAAUGCAAAUCUUAUAAUGGAAUACUGGGGUUUGAGGAAUUUUCCCGUGCUCUCUCUGUCUUUCAUCGAAAUACUCCUAUAGAAGACAAGAUUGACUAACAAUUUCGUUUCAGCUAUAUGAUCUUAAGCAGCAAGGUUUUAAUCGAAAGGCAGGAGGUGAAACAAAUGGUGGUGGCUACUCUUGCUGAGU